UAAUUGCACUGUAUUAAUUUG
This is a non-coding RNA of Caenorhabditis elegans, 21 nucleotides long. Lineage: Eukaryota; Metazoa; Nematoda; Chromadorea; Rhabditida; Rhabditidae. The record is from Ensembl.